AAAUUGAAGAGUUUGAUCAUGGCUCAGAUUGAACGCUGGCGGCAGGCCUAACACAUGCAAGUCGAACGGUAACAGGAAGCAGCUUGCUGCUUCGCUGACGAGUGGCGGACGGGUGAGUAAUGUCUGGGAAACUGCCUGAUGGAGGGGGAUAACUAUUGGAAACGGUGGCUAAUACCGCAUAACGUCGCAAGACCAAAGAGGGGGACCUUCGGGCCUCUUGCCAUCAGAUGUGCCCAGAUGGGAUUAGCUAGUUGGUGAGGUAACGGCUCACCAAGGCGACGAUCCCUAGCUGGUCUGAGAGGAUGACCAGCCACACUGGAACUGAGACACGGUCCAGACUCCUACGGGAGGCAGCAGUGGGGAAUAUUGCACAAUGGGCGCAAGCCUGAUGCAGCCAUGCCGCGUGUAUGAAGAAGGCCUUCGGGUUGUAAAGUACUUUCAGCGGGGAGGAAGGUGUUG
RNAcentral lists this ribosomal RNA (459 nucleotides) under Salmonella enterica. RNAcentral describes it as "bacterial SSU rRNA". It matches the Rfam family "Bacterial small subunit ribosomal RNA", at positions 1 to 456 of the family's 1533-position model. RNAcentral also lists the same sequence under 1 other name. The record is from RNAcentral. Lineage: Bacteria; Pseudomonadati; Pseudomonadota; Gammaproteobacteria; Enterobacterales; Enterobacteriaceae.